GAUGAACGCUGGCGGCGUGCCUAAUACAUGCAAGUCGAGCGAACAGACGAGGAGCUUGCUCCUCUGACGUUAGCGGCGGACGGGUGAGUAACACGUGGAUAACCUACCUAUAAGACUGGGAUAACUUCGGGAAACCGGAGCUAAUACCGGAUAAUAUAUUGAACCGCAUGGUUCAAUAGUGAAAGACGGUUUUGCUGUCACUUAUAGAUGGAUCCGCGCCGCAUUAGCUAGUUGGUAAGGUAACGGCUUACCAAGGCAACGAUGCGUAGCCGACCUGAGAGGGUGAUCGGCCAAACUGGAAAUGAGACACGGUCCAGAAGCCUACGGGAGGCAGCAGGAGGGAAUCUUCCGCAAUGGGCGAAAGCCUGACGGAGCAACGCCGGGUGAGUGAUGAAGGGCUUCGGAUCGUAAAACGCUGUUAUUAGGGAAGAACAAAUGUGUAAGUAACUAUGCACGUCUUGACGGUACCGAAGCAGAAAGCCACGGCUAACUACGU
This 496-nucleotide ribosomal RNA is filed under the name uncultured bacterium. Its description in RNAcentral is "partial 16S ribosomal RNA". It matches the Rfam family "Bacterial small subunit ribosomal RNA", at positions 28 to 506 of the family's 1533-position model. The record is from RNAcentral.